UACAAGUCACAACUUAAAACUGGAGAGCUUCUGCACUUGAGUAAAAUGAGGAACCGUAACUAUUUUUAGUUAGUCAGGAAGAGAUAUUGCAGCAGCAAGCCGGAGAACCCUUCACAGGUCCCAUACAGAUGCCUCCUUUCGGAUGGUUCUUGGCUUUGCAAGCCGCAUUGCAGUCUGGGAAUUUAUGACAUGGACCAAGGCAAAUCACUGUUACUCUUAGCGCCCCUGCCGGCCAUGCCACUGUUAAUCCACAAUUCAAAAAAAAUCAAAUUAGUUAACUGCAACAUUAAAUCUUAGGUCUGCGCAGGGUUAUAAAAGUUUUUGACAACUAAAACACUUCAAACAAUUAACUAAUGAGUACGACAU
This 366-nucleotide long non-coding RNA is filed under the name Malus domestica (apple). Its description in RNAcentral is "long non-coding RNA (MDOM_LNC005045)". The record is from RNAcentral. Lineage: Eukaryota; Viridiplantae; Streptophyta; Magnoliopsida; Rosales; Rosaceae.